Molecule: long non-coding RNA, 986 nt
Filed under: Anser brachyrhynchus (Pink-footed goose)
Lineage: Eukaryota; Metazoa; Chordata; Aves; Anseriformes; Anatidae
Description: lncRNA (ENSABRG00000006683.1)
Source: RNAcentral
CUAAUACCCAGUGGAGUGCAUUAACUCUUAUGAUUGCUUAAAUUGAUUUUACUGUUUUAUCAGUUACUAUUGAACAAAUGAAAGGAUGCUGAUGAAGCAGUGUACUGUAGGCUUGUCUGCAAAGUUUCUCUUGGAGUCAUCUCCAUAUGAAUGAUUUCAUACAGCACAGAAAUAGUUUUAUGUAGAUAUUGACCUUGGAAAGAAACAAAACCAUGGCUUGGUAUUGAGGUUAGGUACAUGGAUCACGAAUUGCCCUGCAAAGAGAAGGCUCUAAUGAGGGUGUCACCAGCCUGCGUCCUCCAUGUUGGUGUGUGGUGGCCACGGCCGGCUGGCAGGUGCUGCGGAGCUGCACCCUCCCCUCCUCAGCAGGUCGGGCAGAAACCAAAGUGGAAAAGUCUGUGGUAGAGAGGAAGCCAGGAAGAUGGCUUAGCAGUUACUGGCAUGUGCAGAUAGACUCAGCUUGGGGACAAUUAGUUUAUUGCCAAUUAAAACCAGAUUGGCCCAGUCAUGGCCUGAGGUGGGGCUGUUGGCACCUGCUGUGACAGGUCUGGGGCAGCUGCGGCCUGUCCUCACAGCACCCUGCAGGCCGCAGUGCGUCAGCACCCCAAAUACUGUGGUGAAACAGGAAGAUUUAAUGUACAACAGAGAGCAAGGACAACUUGUCCCUAGCCCUGUUAGAGGGCAAACAGGAGAUGUUAAAGGAGAAGACCAGUUCAGAAGGAGCAGGAUAAAUAAUAUUAUGGAAGAAGAAAAUACCAUCUUUUCAGAGAAUAUGGUUGCUGCAAUAAAGACCUGAAUGUUGUCUGGCUUAAGCUGGGGCCUUUUAUUUUUUAACAAUGACUUUGUUGGAAAUGAAAUACUGAAGACAAACGAGUCCCAGUAAACAGGAAUUUUGCUGCAGAAAGAAACAAAAUGGGAUUUGGCUUGUAAUCCAGUUGCUUUGCCUUUUUCCCUAAUAAACUCUCUGUAAACGAAUAGAUGAACCA